AUUAUUAUUAUUAUUAUUAUUAGUGUUGUUGUUGUUGAUGUUGUUGUUGAUUUUGCAUGACUUAUUAGUUGGAAAAUAGCUCUCCUUUUAGUGUUUUCCUCUAAUACCAUAUACAAAGAGACAUUAAAAGAAAAUUUUCAAAACCUCUGAACAGAAAAUAAUCUUUCAAAAACUCCAAAAUUAUAUGCACAGAACACAAAUAUCCCAGACCCAGAAAGAAAAUACACGUAAACAUACCUACAUGAUAUUAUGCAAGUAAGAAUGUGUACCUGGGCCAUGGGCUGCGAAGGAAC
This 293-nucleotide unclassified non-coding RNA is filed under the name Hevea brasiliensis (rubber tree). Lineage: Eukaryota; Viridiplantae; Streptophyta; Magnoliopsida; Malpighiales; Euphorbiaceae. The record is from RNAcentral.